Molecule: non-coding RNA, 2298 nt
Organism: Equus caballus (horse)
Lineage: Eukaryota; Metazoa; Chordata; Mammalia; Perissodactyla; Equidae
Source: RefSeq, a predicted model, not a curated record
ACGAAUUUAUUGAGCCCCUACUGUGUGCCAGGCGUCGCCCUAGGCGCUGUGGAAACAUCAGCUCCCUCGGGGGUGGGAGGGGCGUGAGUGUGAAAAUGUAACUGUGAUAAGUGCUGUGGGAAGGGAAGACCGGGCUGCGGCCGCCACCGGCUACCACCCUGACCCCCGACUGGGGGUCCGAGAAGGCUUCCUGGAGAGUGUGCGCCUAGGCUGGGGCCUGGAGGGCGAGUCAGCAAGGUGAAGAGGGCAGGAAGAGUGUUGCAGACAGAAGGAACAGCAAAUGGGAAGCUCAGAGGCAGGGAGGGAGGCGGGAAGGGUAGGUGGACAGGUGAGUGGAUGGGGACGGGGGAGGAACGGGGGGCUGCAGGACCCCCUGGUCAAGUACAGGGUCAGAGCCCCCUAGCGGGAGGUGAGGGUUAGGGUCCCAGGUCGGGCCAUUAUCCCCUUUGGCCCUUUGGUCUGAAUCCCUGGCCAACAGGAAUGACCGCCGCCCCCACCCCAAGCCCACCGCAGAGUCCAGGCCCUCGGCCUCAGUCCCUUCCCUCCCCGUCCUGGGAGCCUGGAGCUGGGGUUAUUUAUAGACCAAGAUAACCCCCUGCCCCGGGCAGACGCUGGCCUCUCUCCAGCCGUUUCCUUCUAUUCUUCUGCUGUGUGUGGGGAGGGCCCUCUCCCCGGAGCCCCCCCUCCUUCUCUUCUCCUUAUCUCUCUCCGGGCUGUUUCCUGCCCCAGGGGACAGAGAGCGGGAGGCAGGCCCUGUGCAUGACUGUGAUAGGGAGCGAGGUUCCUGGAGGCUCCAGGGCCGGGCGCCUGCUGGGGAGGCCCCACGGCCACUCUCUCUGCUGGCAUGGGGCACCGAGGCUGGGGUGUCCAGAUGUGCGGGCCCUGCCUGCACGCGGGGCUGGGGUGGUGGGGCCGGUCCAUGUCGCAGCACGCGAUUUCUGCCUGGCUCUGCGUCCUCGGGCUGUGGAGGGAGCAUCCCGGUGUCGGUGUCCCCCUGAGAGGUGCCCUUCUCGUAUUUGGGUCCCCGGUGCCAGCCCAGUUCUCAUCGACAGGAGAGAAGGCCGUGCGCAGACUCGGUGGAUGUUAGACAGCCUCGGGUGAGCGUCCGGGCUCAGCCCCUCCCACCAGAAGAGCCAAGAGUCCUCACCGUUCUGGACAGUGUCGCUGUUGGGGUGUGGCGUCCUGGCUCAGAGCUCCGCAUUCCUGUCCACCUGCGGCUGUCACCUUCACGAUGGUUCUGUGGGGCUGCGAGCUCCUGACCAUCUCAUCGCGUCUCCCAGAGCGGCUAGGCUGGAGCACUGAUGUGUCCAACAAGGUUUCAUUUCACACGAGGUUCUUCAUGCUUCUUUAUAUUACAGCUGGGGUGUGACAUACGGGGAUUUUAAAAAGUUAUGUGAGUAUAUAGGUUACAGCAUCCAUGGGCUACCUUUCAGAGUAUUAAGAAGGAUAUGACGUAUUUUUAACAUAAAAGGAAGGGGUCGGGGUGAGAGUGCUGGGACCUGGGGUUUCGAGCUCCAACGAAGUUGUAAAAAUUCGGACGUCGAUGUCAGGGGCUCAGGACACAUUUGACAGGUGAACGAAUGAAUGCCUGGGGACAUAUUGUUGAAGGGGCUCUUUGAUGCCUUCAUGUACCACCCACAGGUGACCUCUUGUCUGGGCCCGCGUGAGGUAUUCUGCCCCCAGUUCCAGAACCUUCUAAGUUCCAGAACCAGCUAAGCACGAGACCGCCUUGGUCCUGGUAGCCAGCUCCUGGCUGGGUCAGAAGCUGCUCAGGAGAACUUUGUCCCUCCCCACGGGGUCCCUGAGCAGAUCUGAAGGCCCAGCCCGAGCUGGACCAGGCCCGCGGUCCUGCCAUCAGGGACCCUGCAGCUUCCGGGAUGCGAGCGGGACUCCCGGCCAGUCGGAGGGAGAAAUACUUGUCAAAAGAUCUCCAAACUGGGCGGGAGCAUGGACGCUUCUGCCCCUCUGUUCCUUCCUGCCCAGGGCGGGUAGCAUGGUCGACAGUCCAGCACGGCCCCUCCACAUCGGUGCUGGACACCCAGUCCACUCACUGAGCGUCUUCUUCUUUCCUUUGCUAACCCCACAUCACUCUAUUACUCUGUAAUUUGUUUUUAUGCUAAAUAACGUGUUUGGGACAAUUUUCCCGGGCUGCGCAUACACACCAGCUGCUGGUCAUUCUGGAGAUACCCCUCCAUCUAUUUGUCUUUAAGUUUUUCUGUUAAACUGUUUUUUCCCAUGGAAAGAAUACAUGCAUGUGGUUAAAAAAUAAUAAAAAGCAAAUGUCUCUAUUUUCCCAAA